CCGGGGAUGCCGGGGGUGCCGGGGGUACCGGGGGUGCCGGGGAUACCGGGGGUACCGGGGGUACCGGGGGUACCGGGGAGAUGCUCGUGUAAAACACGUGGGGAGGGGAGGAGGACGGGAAAAGCGGGAUGGGGGAGUGGGCAGCAGCGUCUUUGUGCGAGGGGCGAGUGCCAGCCCCGCCCGCUCAAACCUUGCGCGCUGGGCAGCUGAGGGUUUAUGCCUCCCCCCGCGCCGUUUGUUUUUGGCCGUUUUUGUCACGGAAGCGAAGCUGCGAAAUCCUGGUAGAGCAGAAAUCCCGCCCUUGUUGCUCUCCCAGGGUGGGAAGGGCAGGAGAAACGCGGAGGAAAACGCUAAACUCUGGUUUCUUGCGUUAACCACGGUCGGAGAGCGAUUCAACUUCCCACAGCACCCAACGCAGGAAAAAGGGGGAAAAGGGGCUUGUGCUCCCUAAAAUCCCAUCGCUUGAGGGAGCAUCCCACGCUGGGGUUGUGCUGCCUGGCUGGGAUGCAGGGUUAGGAAAUGGGCUACCAGGAGCAUCAGCACAACAGGACAGGCAUGGAUACAAAAUGCACCCAGAGAUGGUGGCCACCAAGACCACCACAGUGACCAUCUCCCGUCGGAACACCCUUUGGAAAAGCAGCUGAGUGAGAAAUAUCGGAGCAGAUGGGUCCGGGCUACUUGAGCCGCUGCUCUUUCCCACCGCCUCCUUGUUUUUUCCUGGGUUUAAUCGAGAUCUGAUGAUUAAAUUUCCUCUUCCUGGUGCUGGCUCCUCCUGCACCCAGCACGGCAGAAAGAGACAGAGUUUUGGCUGGGCUGGGACAAAAGUGGGGUGGCUGUGAGUCCUUGCAUGGCCAGACCCCAUCCCAGAGGUCAGCUGGGACUUCCCAGCCUCAUCCCAGCUUUUAUCUGGCUCCCCAAAAUGAGCCACACAGAACCACUUCAAAGCACCCUCGGGAGCUCUUUUCUGCGGCAUUAUUUUGGGAGCUUUGGGGUUUCUCCAAGGGGAGCUCCCUGCAGCCGGAUAACCCGGUUCUCUACCUGCAACAGGGCACUUCUAUUCUGUUUUGCCAGUGGAAAACACUGGGAUGGCACCUGGGAUGCAGCUGGGCUGGGUGCUGCCCCCAUCCGUGCCUUGGCACCAAGCCUGGGGUGCUCCUGUCCCUCUGCUCUCGCAAAACUCUCAUUAAAAUCAGUAUUUCAGUUGCUGGUUUAUUCCUCUUUUCCAUCUCUAGUGUGAUUCCCCAUCUCUUUGGAUACUGCAAAGUCCAAAUUUAUUCCUGUCUCGGGCUGGCACCUUGAGUGGCUUUGGGGACAAAAGUGUCUUUUCCAAUGGGCUGCAGGAGGUGUACGAGAAUCUGCAAUUCCAGCUCAGCAUCCUCAUGAUCCCUUGGGAAAAACCACAUCUCCAGGUGCCAAAACCAUGCUCGGACUCCAUGAAAAAUCAGCAAUUUGUGGGUGACAAUGAUUGCUUAUCCUGGGAGCAGCUUUCCCAGUGCUCAGGAUGUGCCUUGGGCACGUUGCUGGUGCCGAGCCUGGGAUGGAGGGAUGAGCAUUCCACCUGUACCCAUCCCUCUCUGUUCUCUGAGCUGUUUGCAAUGCCCAGGAGUUAGUCCAAGCAAGGAAGUGAUCCCGGGGAACAAUUAGCUCUGGACAAAAUGCUCUGAGGAGCCCAGGCUUUUCUGGAAUUCCAUCCUGCAGGAAUUCCAUGGUAAAGUUCAUUAUGUGGUAAAGCACAUUCCCCUCUGUGGUGUUUUUCAGGCUCAAAUCUGGGUGGAAAUUGUUGGUUCCUGACAGUUCUUAAGAACAGGGCUGGUCCAGGAUGACAUUCCCCUGGGUCUGGUGUGUGAGUGCAGCCAGCUUUUUCUGGGAAGAGAGCAGCUCCUUUCUGCUCUGAUGCUGCCUUGGGAAUUGUGGACAGGAGCUGGACAUCCGGACCUUGGUCUGAUGAGCCCGAGACUCAGCAACACCAAUCCCCUCCCCAGGGCUGAAGCAUGGAUCCUCCUCACCAGGAGGAUCAUGGAAUCCCAGAACCAUGGAAUGGUUUGGAGCCCAUCUCAUUCCAACUCCUGCAAGGGCAGGGAUGCUCUCACAGACACUGCAGCAGCUCAGCCAUGAACCCUGAGCUCCUGAAACUUUCCAGAAGGGAGAGUUCCCAAAGCUGAACCUGAUCAAAUCCACUUCCACGUGGAAUAUCAGAACACACCAAGCUCCAUGUUUGUUGCUACGGCCGCAGGGAGUGCUUUUCCAUGAUCCUGCAGUUUUGGUAGGGAUCCAGCGAACCCCUGAGCCCGGGUCAUGCUCUGGAUGGCUUUCUGGAGCUGGGGAAGCACCUGCUUGGCUGCCAAGAAUUCCAUUAUGCCGGGCUGGAAUUAAAGCAGAGCGGAUUUACUCCUCCUUCA
Taeniopygia guttata (zebra finch) is the source of this 2399-nucleotide non-coding RNA. NCBI's taxonomy places the organism in Eukaryota, Metazoa, Chordata, Aves, Passeriformes, Estrildidae. The record is from RefSeq and is a predicted model, not a curated record.